This 454-nucleotide ribosomal RNA is filed under the name uncultured Sphingobacteriales bacterium. RNAcentral's name for it is "bacterial SSU rRNA". It matches the Rfam family "Bacterial small subunit ribosomal RNA", at positions 926 to 1382 of the family's 1533-position model. Lineage: Bacteria; Pseudomonadati; Bacteroidota; Sphingobacteriia; Sphingobacteriales. The record is from RNAcentral.
CAAGGCGGAGGAACAUGUGGUUAAUUCGAUGAUACGCGAGGAACCUUACCUGGGCUUAAAUGUAGAGUGCAUUUUUUAGAGAUAGAAAUUCCCUUCGGGGCUUUCUGCAAGGUGCUGCAUGGUUGUCGUCAGCUCGUGCCGUGAGGUGUCGGGUUAAGUCCCAUAACGAGCGCAACCCUUAUCGUUAGUUGCCAUCUGGUAAUGCAGGGGACUCUAGCGAAACUGCCACCGUAAGGUGAGAGGAAGUGGGAUGACGUCAAAUCAGCACGGCCCUUAUGUCCAGGGCUACACACGUGUUACAAUGGUCGGUACAGAGGGCAGCUACCUGGUGACAGGAUGCUAAUCUCGAAAACCGGUCUCAGUUCGGAUCGAAGUCUGCAACUCGACUUCGUGAAGCUGGAUUCGCUAGUAAUCGCGCAUCAGCUAUGGCGCGGUGAAUACGUUCCCGGGCCUU